UACGUAGGGUGCGAGCGUUGUCCGGAAUUAUUGGGCGUAAAGAGCUCGUAGGCGGUCUGUCGCGUCGAUCGUGAAAACUUGGGGCUUAACCCUGAGCUUGCGGUCGAUACGGGCAUGACUGGAGUUCGGCAGGGGAGACUGGAAUUCCUGGUGUAGCGGUGAAAUGCGUAGAUAUCAGGAGGAACACCGAUGGCGAAGGCAGGUCUCUGGGCUGACACUGACGCUCAUGCACGAAAGCGUGGGGAGCAAACAGG
RNAcentral lists this ribosomal RNA (254 nucleotides) under uncultured bacterium. RNAcentral describes it as "partial 16S ribosomal RNA". It matches the Rfam family "Bacterial small subunit ribosomal RNA", at positions 524 to 776 of the family's 1533-position model. The record is from RNAcentral.